UUCAGCGUCUCAAUAACGUUUUGCCGUUCAUGUCCUUAGUAAACAUCGUCGUAUCUUCGCCAUAUUGUUCAUAUGUCUAUUCGUAGUUGAAUGUUAACUUUACGAAGCGUUUAAUGUAAGCUAGCUAGACCGUCAAAACAAACGAGUCACAAUGUUAAUGGCGGACAUCAUCGUGGCUGUCUCACUCGUGUGCAUUAACGCAGCACUACGGGAGUCACACAACGCUACUGUCACUGAGUUAAGAGUGAAUGCAAUGUCAGGUUGACUGUAACUAUAAUGUAAUGGUCCUACUUUAUAGACAUGCGGAGUGAUACGAAGGCAUGUGUGAUCAGAGGGGGGGCGUGUACAGUCGGCGGCCCGCUCUUGGAGUUACCCGAAUCCAGUCAGUCACGGUGUUAUGUAUGGUUAAGCUAAUAAAGAUACUUGGAGAUACAACGGGCUCAAAACCCUAUUAUUCCAUAACACUACAGUAACGAGGAAUAAUUCAACCACAACCGUAUGAUGGAGAACUUCUCGGCCACAGCGAAUGUGGUACAACGUUUUUUUAUUUUUUACUUGAACAUCAUUUCUUAUUUUGUGAUAUUUAAUGGAAAUGACAUCCAUUAUAACCAAUAGCAAGUUUGAAACUAAGCUCCCUGCCAACCUCCCUACAGACUAUUUAUGACUUCAAUCUAUCUAUCUAUCUAUAUCUUGGAUAAGCAUUUGUAAUCAUAUUUGUCUGUGAAAUCUUCCAUUAAACUGAUGGCUUUUUAGCCGUAAAAAUGCAUCUUGACGAGGAGUUAUUUGCAGUUUGACUAAUUGCUUUUGUUGUUUCUUUUGUAGGCUUUGAAAAACCUGGCAAUGAAUUGUAAGUAUUGCUUAUUUUCUUCUACACACUACUGCAUAACACAUGGAAGCGUUGCCAGAUUGAGUCCAUGUCUUCACACAGAGUGUCUCCUGUGACGACCAUGAAGGGCCGAUGAGGGGAGCUGAUGUAAUCUGUUCAAUCUAGAAGCCACUAGUUUUCUGCCCAGUGUGAUGUAGUAUGUUGUAAUGUGUUUACUGUAGGUCUAAUAUGACUAAAUAUUAAUUUAUUUCUCUUUCCGUUAGAUUCUGGCUGAGUUCUGUCGCUUAUCAAGCAAAAAUCUGAGUUGCGAUCAGAGUUCUUCAAAGAUCUCGACAAAUAUACUCCUCGCUUCCUGGAGAAGUUCAAAACCCAGAGGGGGAAAGUGUCGGACAGAAACUUGAAUAUCUGCAACAAGUCACAUCUGGGAGUACAGAUGUGACUGGGAGGUGAACAGCAGUCCUCCGUGGCUCUCCCAUCAUCCUUGGAGAUGACAACGCAGACUUCUUCAAGAAUUUGAGGUUCAGGAGCAGCCAAUAUGAUGCAGGUGUGACGGCUGACGAUGGUAGGUACCUGUUCAGCCUCCUGUGGUAGGAGCACAUUUCCCAGAAGCAGCAGUGACAAAGAAAUGUGGAUGUUUACCACGAAUAUGGUUGGUUGCCCACGUAUUAAACGUUGGUCUUUCUUUAUUGAAGGUGUGAGUUUAGGAUGGCAUGAAGCUUCGACUUGACCCUAUGGAAACACAGCAGAAGCCACGAACGGGUCCUGAUCGGGGACUCUGAUGACCUUCUGGACGUGUCCCACGCCUCCAUUGGGACCCUGACGGUGCUGAAGACAUCGUGGCCUCUCCUCACUCGCUGGACCUGGAGUCUACAACUACUGCCAUCGUUUUGGGAGGAACAGUCGUGAUGGGUGACCGUGAUCAUCUUCCCCGUGCCGUGUGGCUACUCUUCGGACUUAUUUACCCCUGAAUUUGGAGUAUCCUCAACGAGUGAGGAACACCUUCUGAAUUUAUUCAUAGAGUGCUUCUCACUUGGACCAAAAACCCUAAAAUACAAUCACUCAAAUAUCUACUGAUGCCAUAAGGGACUGUGUUCAUGAUGUGCAGUCAGGCCCGAGAACUUCACCCUUCUAUCUCCAAUUGAACUCUUUUCUAGAAAAUGUCUGUUUUUGUUGUUUUUCUGUCGUGAAAUUUAGCAAAUGCCGAAAACGCUGUGUUCAUCAUAUUUCUGCGUUACAAAACCUAAUCUGGCAACAUGUUCAGCGUUUUAAGCACGUUGUUUGAGUUUUAAAACAUGUGUUUUUCUUCUAAAUAAACGUUGUCUUCCAUUGUAA
Molecule: long non-coding RNA, 2158 nt
Organism: Pseudoliparis swirei
Lineage: Eukaryota; Metazoa; Chordata; Actinopteri; Perciformes; Liparidae
Exons: 4
Source: RefSeq, a predicted model, not a curated record